This 458-nucleotide ribosomal RNA is filed under the name uncultured bacterium. RNAcentral describes it as "partial 16S ribosomal RNA". It matches the Rfam family "Bacterial small subunit ribosomal RNA", at positions 338 to 795 of the family's 1533-position model. The record is from RNAcentral.
CCUACGGGAGGCAGCAGUGAGGAAUAUUGGUCAAUGGGCGAGAGCCUGAACCAGCCAAGUCGCGUGAGGGAGUACUGCCCUAUGGGUUGUAAACCUCUUUUGCCGGGGAGCAAAAGCCGGACGUGUCCGGCUGUGAGAGUACCCGAAGAAAAAGCAUCGGCUAACUCCGUGCCAGCAGCCGCGGUAAUACGGAGGAUGCGAGCGUUAUCCGGAUUUAUUGGGGUUAAAGGGUGCGCAGGCGGAUUUUUAAGUCAGCGGUCAAAUCGUGGGGCUCAACCCCAUCCAGCCGUUGAAACUGGGGAUCUAGAGUGUGCGAGAGGUAUGCGGAAUGCGUGGUGUAGCGGUGAAAUGCAUAGAUAUCACGCAGAACCCCGAUUGCGAAGGCAGCAUACCGGUGCACAACUGACGCUCAGGCACGAAAGCGUGGGUAUCGAACAGGAUUAGAUACCCGGGUAGUC